UACGGAUGAUGCAAGCGUUAUCCGGAAUGAUUGGGCGUAAAGCGUCCGCAGGUGGCUAUGUAAGUCUGCUGUUAAAGAGUCUGGCUCAACCAGAUAAAGGCAGUGGAAACUACAUGGCUAGAGUGCGUUCGGGGCAGAGGGAAUUCCUGGUGUAGCGGUGAAAUGCGUAGAGAUCAGGAAGAACACCGGUGGCGAAAGCGCUCUGCUAGGCCGCAACUGACACUGAGGGACGAAAGCUAGGGGAGCGAAUGGG
RNAcentral lists this ribosomal RNA (253 nucleotides) under uncultured bacterium. RNAcentral describes it as "partial 16S ribosomal RNA". It matches the Rfam family "Bacterial small subunit ribosomal RNA", at positions 524 to 776 of the family's 1533-position model. The record is from RNAcentral.